This 184-nucleotide non-coding RNA is filed under the name Mycoplasmatota bacterium. RNAcentral describes it as "Tenericutes bacterium (anaerobic digester metagenome) 6S RNA". It matches the Rfam family "6S / SsrS RNA". From Rfam's summary of the family: E. coli 6S RNA was the first non coding RNA to be sequenced, but its function was unknown until recently. It consists of 184 nucleotides that fold into an extended hairpin structure with a large single-stranded internal bulge. The 6S RNA specifically associates with RNA polymerase holoenzyme containing the sigma70 specificity factor. Lineage: Bacteria; Bacillati; Mycoplasmatota. The record is from RNAcentral.
UAAUACCUAGCGUAAUCGAAUAUCACUCAAUAUAACCGAACAAAUAAACUUCAGGGAAUCUAAUUUACGAUUGGUGUGAAUGCCCACCCAUUAAGUGCUGUGGGAAUCCUAAAAAUCAUAAUGUGAUGCCCACCUAGAAAUUAGAGGUUAACCCAUGAGUGAUAGUCGUUUCGCUGGGCUUUUU